RNAcentral lists this ribosomal RNA (254 nucleotides) under uncultured bacterium. Its description in RNAcentral is "partial 16S ribosomal RNA". It matches the Rfam family "Bacterial small subunit ribosomal RNA", at positions 524 to 776 of the family's 1533-position model. The record is from RNAcentral.
UACGGGGGGAGCAAGCGUUGUUCGGAUUUACUGGGCGUAAAGGGCGCGUAGGCGGUCAGCACAAGUCAGUUGUGAAAUCUCCGGGCUUAACUCGGAAAGGUCAACUGAUACUGUGCGACUAGAGUGCAGAAGGGGCAACUGGAAUUCUCGGUGUAGCGGUGAAAUGCGUAGAUAUCGAGAGGAACACCUGCGGCGAAGGCGGGUUGCUGGGCUGACACUGACGCUGAUGCGCGAAAGCCAGGGGAGCGAUCGGG